UCAAAAAUAAUAUUGGUAGGAUAUUGCAGAGAUCUUCAUGGAUAAUUCUGAUGAAAAUUAAUGAUAUCCAUGUGAUGUUUAAUUUUCACAACAGCAUUCAGUUUAAGAAUGGUAGAUAAAGCAGAUAAAAAUAAUUAACGGUACAGAAUGAUAGGUGCCAUCCACAACAGCCAUAAGGUGCAUUUGGUUUAUAAUAGCCUGUAUCAUCACUAUAAAGGAGCCUUAUCAAUCUUCAUCAAGUCCCUUUGCAACUAACCACCUUCAACCUUGAAUUUAUGCAGUCAUUUAAAUAAUCAAAAUUUGUCCUACUAAACCCAUAACACAAAAGAUCACCGCAUGUCCUUUAAGCCAAAAUGGAACAGUAAUAUGUGCAUCAAAAUAGACAUGUAAUAGGCUGAAACUUAGUUUACAGUGACCAUGUUGCAUUGUUGCUUUCAGUUGAUCACCUUUAUGAGAAACUACAGACUUUACAGAAACCAAUUCAAGAACCACAAAUCAGGCAUGUUGCCUGACAUUUAGGAGCUUACAAUAGAAGCAUAAAAUGGCGAACAGUUCCAGCUCCAAAGAACUAAAUAUACAUUCGUUGGUAAAAUUAUUCUUCAGCAUUACAACAAUGGCUUCGCACAAAUAGCUCAAGGAAUCAAAUUUAAAAAUCCGAGGAACUAUCGCUUGGCUCUACCAAUAGGAUUUAACUAAGCCAAAACUCCGACUGAUAAAUUGUAAGAACUAGAGAGAAUUUUUCAUCACAGUGUUUCACGCUAAACUUACAUCUUAGUGACUCCAUGUCAAAAUUGCUCAGGCAUUCACUGGCAAAGGAAAGAACAAGACCUGCAAAAAAAACUUAUACAUAGUUACCUGUUUGCAGUAAUUUUUUACGAGAUAAAUAUCAUCAUGUACACUCCCAGAUAAAGAAAUAUUAAGCAAAUCAUUUUGUCACCACUUUAGUUUUUUUCAUGAAUAUACCAAAACCAUUACCAAAAAAAAAGAACUAAGUUCGCUACUGUUCUGUACAUUACUCAAAAUGCAACAAUUAGAUAUAUGAUGAUAUUAAACAGCCAUGUUAGAAACAAAGAGUGGGUCUCAUCCUUGGAGUUUGACUAUCCUAACUGGAUAACUAUCAUAAGAAUUGAAGAACACAAUUUGUGCAUGAUAUGCAAUAGACAUUAUUUAUAACACCAUGCAAUCAUUGCAAUUCUCAAAUAGAAGAAACAUAUGCAAUUCUGACAUGUUUGGUCAGCUUCCAGUCACGAUAAACUAACAGAGGGUUGAACUUGAUCCUUUAUCUCUCAUCACUAAUCAUCAAGGGCUUAAGUAGCAGUAAAUAAAACAUUUGCCAUACAAUACAUACUGCACCACUAGGUCAUUGACACAAUACAAAGGAGAAAAGUUG
Molecule: long non-coding RNA, 1390 nt
Filed under: Elaeis guineensis (African oil palm)
Lineage: Eukaryota; Viridiplantae; Streptophyta; Magnoliopsida; Arecales; Arecaceae
Description: long non-coding RNA (EGUI_LNC067606)
Source: RNAcentral